UAGGGAAUCUUCCGCAAUGGGCGAAAGCCUGACGGAGCAACGCCGCGUGAGUGAUGAAGGUCUUCGGAUCGUAAAACUCUGUUAUUAGGGAAGAACAUAUGUGUAAGUAACUGUGCACAUCUUGACGGUACCUAAUCAGAAAGCCACGGCUAACUACGUGCCAGCAGCCGCGGUAAUACGUAGGUGGCAAGCGUUAUCCGGAAUUAUUGGGCGUAAAGCGCGCGUAGGCGGUUUUUUAAGUCUGAUGUGAAAGCCCACGGCUCAACCGUGGAGGGUCAUUGGAAACUGGAAAAACUUGAGUGCAGAAGAGGAAAGUGGAAUUCCAUGUGUAGCGGUGAAAUGCGCAGAGAUAUGGAGGAACACCAGUGGCGAAGGCGACUUUCUGGUCUGUAACUGACGCUGAUGUGCGAAAGCGUGGGGAUCGAACAGGAUUAGAUACCCUGGUAGUCCACGCCGUAAACGAUGAGUGCUAAGUGUUAGGGGGUUUCCGCCCCUUAGUGCUGCAGCUAACGCAUUAAGCACUCCGCCUGGGGGAGUACGACCGCAAGGUUGAAACUUAAAGGAAUUGACGGGGGUCAUAGCUGUUUCCUG
Molecule: ribosomal RNA, 591 nt
Filed under: uncultured bacterium
Lineage: Bacteria
Description: partial 16S ribosomal RNA
Rfam family: Bacterial small subunit ribosomal RNA
Source: RNAcentral